This 446-nucleotide ribosomal RNA is filed under the name uncultured bacterium. RNAcentral describes it as "partial 16S ribosomal RNA". It matches the Rfam family "Bacterial small subunit ribosomal RNA", at positions 29 to 523 of the family's 1533-position model. The record is from RNAcentral.
AGCGAACGCUGGCGGCGGCUUAACACAUGCAAGUCGAACGGUCCUUCGGGAUAGUGGCGGACGGGUGAGUAACACGUGGGAACGUACCCUUAGGUUCGGAACAACACAGGGAAACUUGUGCUAAUACCGGAUAAGCCCUUCGGGGGAAAGAUUUAUCGCCUUUGGAGCGGCCCGCGUCUGAUUAGCUUGUUGGUGAGGUAAUGGCUCACCAAGGCUACGAUCAGUAGCUGGUCUGAGAGGAUGGCCAGCCACACUGGGACUGAGACACGGCCCAGACUCCUACGGGAGACAGCAGUGGGGAAUCUUGCGCAAUGGGCGAAAGCCUGACGCAGCCAUGCCGCGUGGAUGAUGAAGGUCUUAGGAUUGUAAAAUCCUUUCACCGGGGACGAUAAUGACGGUACCCGGAGAAGAAGCCCCGGCUAACUUCGUGCCAGCCGCCGCGGUAA